RNAcentral lists this long non-coding RNA (249 nucleotides) under Mytilus galloprovincialis (Mediterranean mussel). The record is from RNAcentral. Lineage: Eukaryota; Metazoa; Mollusca; Bivalvia; Mytilida; Mytilidae.
CGUCCUUCAGCUGGCCCCUAAACAAAUAUAUAAUAGUUCAGUGAUAAUGAACGCCAUACUAAUUUCCAAAUGGUACACAAGAAACUAAAAUUAAAAUAAUACAAGACUAACAAAGGUCAGAGGCUCCUGACUUGGGACAGGCGCAAAAAUGCGGCGGGGUUAAACAUGUUUGUGAGAUCUCAACCCUCCCCUAUACCUCUAGCCAAUGUAGAAAAGUAAACGCAUAACAAUACGCACAUUAAAAUUCAU